GCGAGCCCACCUCCCACCCGUGUUUACUGUACCUUAGUUGCUUCGGCGGGCCCGCCAUUCAUGGCCGCCGGGGGCUCUCAGCCCCGGGCCCGCGCCCGCCGGAGACACCACGAACUCUGUCUGAUCUAGUGAAGUCUGAGUUGAUUGUAUCGCAAUCAGUUAAAACUUUCAACAAUGGAUCUCUUGGUUCCGGCAUCGAUGAAGAACGCAGCGAAAUGCGAUAACUAGUGUGAAUUGCAGAAUUCCGUGAAUCAUCGAGUCUUUGAACGCACAUUGCGCCCCCUGGUAUUCCGGGGGGCAUGCCUGUCCGAGCGUCAUUGCUGCCCAUCAAGCACGGCUUGUGUGUUGGGUCGUCGUCCCCUCUCCGGGGGGGACGGGCCCCAAAGGCAGCGGCGGCACCGCGUCCGAUCCUCGAGCGUAUGGGGCUUUGUCACCCGCUCUGUAGGCCCGGCCGGCGCUUGCCGAACGCAAAUCAAUCUUUUUCCAGGUUGACCUCGGAUCAGGUAGGGAUACCCGCUGAACUUAAGCAUAUCAAUAGGCGGAGGA
Molecule: ribosomal RNA, 546 nt
Filed under: Aspergillus flavus
Lineage: Eukaryota; Fungi; Ascomycota; Eurotiomycetes; Eurotiales; Aspergillaceae
Description: eukaryotic LSU rRNA
Rfam family: 5.8S ribosomal RNA (bases 164-317)
Source: RNAcentral